This 276-nucleotide ribosomal RNA is filed under the name Triticum aestivum (bread wheat). RNAcentral describes it as "partial small subunit ribosomal RNA". The record is from RNAcentral. Lineage: Eukaryota; Viridiplantae; Streptophyta; Magnoliopsida; Poales; Poaceae.
AUGGGGAUAUUGGGGUUCAGAUAUUUACAUGCGUUUAAUCUUGUGAUGCUCGCAAAGCAGGUUUGGAGACUGUUAUCAAAUCCUGACACUCUAUGUGCAAAGGUUUUGAGAGCUAAAUAUUAUCCUGAUGGAAAUCUCUUGGAGGCAGGACCGAAGAAGGGAUCUUCAUUUAUGUGGCAAAGUAUUGUUGUCGGUCUCCAGACUUUCAAAAGAUGGCAUAUUUGGAGAGUGGGGUCAGGAAGUAAUAUCAAUACCUCGGAUGAUCACUCUGAGUAG